CGGUACUCGCGAAUGCAUCCAGAUUNAUAAUUUGAUCAUGGCUCAGGAUGANCGCUGGCGUGCGUGCUUACACAUGCAAGUCGAACGUGAGGAAGCGACUUCGGUGGCUUCUGAAAGUGGCGAACGGGUGAGUAACACGUAGGUGACCUGCCUUACAGCGGGGGAUAACCAUUGGAAACGAUGGCUAAUACCGCAUGGUUCUGCCGGGAUGGGAAUCCGGGUGGAUAAAGCUGAGGCGCUGUAAGAGGGGCCUGCGGUCGAUUAGCUAGUUGGUGAGGUAAAGGCUCACCAAGGCGAUGAUCGAUAGCUGGUCUGAGAGGAUGACCAGCCACACGGGAACUGAGACACGGUCCCGACUCCUACGGGGGGCAGCAGUGAGGAAUAUUGGACAAUGGGGGAAACCCUGAUCCAGCAACGCCGCGUGAGGGAUGAAGGUCUUUGGAUUGUAAACCUCUUUUCUCAGGGAAGAGUGAGGACGGUACCUGAGGAAUAAGUCACGGCUAACUACGUGCCAGCAGCCGCGGUAAUACGUAGGUGGCGAGCGUUAUCCGGAAUUACUGGGCGUAAAGCGCACGCAGGCGGCAUUUAAGUCUGACGGUGAAAGCUCCCGGUUUAACUGGGGAGCAAGNCGUUGGAAAAACUUGGGGGUUGGGCUUGAGGGGCAACUUGGAGAAGGNGGGGUUGUUACGCGAAUUCCCUUG
This 701-nucleotide ribosomal RNA is filed under the name uncultured bacterium. RNAcentral's name for it is "partial 16S ribosomal RNA". It matches the Rfam family "Bacterial small subunit ribosomal RNA", at positions 1 to 714 of the family's 1533-position model. The record is from RNAcentral.